GGAAUAUUGGACAAUGGGGGCAACCCUGAUCCAGCGAUGCCGCGUGGGUGAAGAAGGCCUUCGGGUUGUAAAGCCCUUUAGGUCGGGAAGAAGGUUAGUAGAGGAAAUGCUAUUAAUUUGACGGUACCGACAGAAUAAGCACCGGCAAACUCUGUGCCAGCAGCCGCGGUAAUACAGAGGGUGCGAGCGUUAAUCGGAUUUACUGGGCGUAAAGGGCGCGUAGGCGGUGAGAUGUGUGUGAUGUGAAAGCCCCGGGCUCAACCUGGGAGGUGCAUCGCAAACUGUCUGACUGGAGUAUAUGAGAGGGUGGCGGAAUUUCCGGUGUAGCGGUGAAAUGCGUAGAGAUCGGAAGGAACGUCGAUGGCGAAGGCAGCCACCUGGCAUAAUACUGACGCUGAGGCGCGAAAGCGUGGGGAUCGA
Molecule: ribosomal RNA, 420 nt
Filed under: uncultured bacterium
Lineage: Bacteria
Description: bacterial SSU rRNA
Rfam family: Bacterial small subunit ribosomal RNA
Source: RNAcentral